This is a non-coding RNA of Schistosoma curassoni, 78 nucleotides long. The record is from Rfam. NCBI's taxonomy places the organism in Eukaryota, Metazoa, Platyhelminthes, Trematoda, Strigeidida, Schistosomatidae.
AGUCUACUGAAUUCGUGCUGAGAUUUCGUCAGACACCAGACUUUCACGACUGAUGAGACCACCGAGAUCAGUAAAGCG